Long non-coding RNA from Chenopodium quinoa (quinoa), 1514 nucleotides. RefSeq lists it as uncharacterized. Lineage: Eukaryota; Viridiplantae; Streptophyta; Magnoliopsida; Caryophyllales; Amaranthaceae. The record is from RefSeq and is a predicted model, not a curated record. The transcript is spliced from 3 exons.
UUGAAUCUGUUCAAAUUACUAGCUCUGCAUUUGCAAAUUCUAUGGUAAUUUGUUCUGGUUUUCGUUGAUGUAUCUGAGUAAUUGAUUAUGUUUCCCGUCCUAAGUUAGUGAAGGUGUGCCUAUUCUACAUUUGUUGAAUUUUAAAGGGUAAACAACGAAUUUUCGUUUUUGAGAAUUAAAUUUGAAGUUUUUGCUUUUGUGGUUGGGAUGAAGUUGAAUAUUGAUUUGGGGUGGCUGAUUUGGUUCAUUUAUACAUUAGAGAUCCAAGUUUAUUACUUUUUUUCUAAUUGCUAUAGCCAUUGUUCAAGCUCAUGUGCGUGCUUGACCUAAACGAACAAAUGAAUGUAAUCAAGCUAAUUAAUCCACUUUGAUAUCUCUUAUCUUGGACAGUAAGGAACUCUGAUUUAAUAUUAAUAGGUUGCAUAAUGAAGCUAUAUUUAGUUAAUCAGAUGACAAAAUAGCAUGAUAAAUUGAAUGUCAUUUACCCAAUACUGAUUGUGCUUCUUUUGUCUCACUGUUUUUAUUUGUUCCUGAUGGUGGACAUCUGUUCAUCAGUGAUCAGAGCAGUUUUGAAUCUAUCCUAAGAGCACUUCUGUUUGAAUAGUUUCCAUCCUACAUGCCUUUAACUUGUAUGCAAAUUGUCAUUGGUCUAGACUUUGUAAUAAUUGGGAAUAACAUUUUUAAUUAUUUAUACCCCUUUCUGGUGUGGUAUUUAAUCUACUUUUUACAUUUCGCAUGUGAAUGUUUUGAAAUGCUGAUGUUGGGUUUGUAUGAAGUUUUAACUACUGAGAAGAUUUGCCAGUUGCCACAGGUGUGUAUUUAAAUGUGGUAUACCAGGAGGUUAAGGGGGCAUGCAUGUCAUUAUUAUUAUUAUUUUUUUUUGACAUUUUAUAUUAAUUUGGAAUUCCCUUGUUUUUUGUUUUUCAAUCUAUUUUUAAACGUUAUAAUGCCAAAAGAAGAAUGCACAACUUUACAGAAAGCUGGAGUACUAUCACACAGAAGCAAGGCAAAUUCAGGUAGUUAAUUAAUCAUGUAGAAGUGAAGAAAGGUGUGGAAAUUUUAUGGGCAUACCAUGCGUGUAUUAGGAUGUCGCUUGUCAUGACUUCUGAGCAUCUGUAACUUGAAGAAUGCAAACAACUCGCCAACCUGUGUCUCUGGACAGGUGUAUGGGGAAUCAAAUGGAGCGGAAGUAUAGUGACUAGCCAUCUAACAAAUGGUGCAUAUAUGUUGGCUACUCUUAUUCAAGUUCCGGCUUUGUGAAGAUUUGGAUAUUUCGGCUUAUAUAUAUGUUGACAAUUUGUAUUUUGGACGAUCAAAUUAAUUAUCUAACUUUUAUUAAUUAUUAGUAGGGUAUGUCAUACCAAAAAUAGGCAAGUAAUAUUUUGUAAUGUACGUAUUUUGCAUUAUAAUUAUUAUAUAUAAAUGAUACUUUAAUUUGCUUAUGUUAGUAUAUUUAGAUUUGUACCGACUAAUUAAUAUUAUAUUACCAUUCCAUCCCAACAAAAAAAAAAAAA